AUUUUCUGGCCCCACCACCGCAGCUCAGGAGCCCGGGCCCGGCAGAUUUGGGGAGCCCUUGGCUGCUCACCUUUGUGGCAGGGCUGCAGGAGCGAGCACGGGAGGAAGGGAAGGGGAGAGGUGUCUUUGUGGCAGCCAGCUCGUGGCGUGACCGUGAUGAAGAAAUGUUUCUGGGCGCCUGGCAGAGGCGAUCUUUUUUAUGUAAUGAGUCAGGAUUUUGCCAACGGAAGAAGCCGGCCGCCGACCGAAGGGCUACUGCCUCCCUGCCGAGCUCGGCACCCCGCCGGGCCGGGGCCGGGGCCGCCCGCUCCCCCGAGACCCGCGAUAUACCAAAAAUGAAGUCUCCAGGAGAUAGGAAAAACAUUCACAGCUGUUUUCUUAACAUCACAGGAAACAAUAAAACAUCAAUAAAAAAAUAAGGUCAAGAGAGAACUAUAGAACUGUUCUUCAGUGAGGUCUAAGUGGCCAAUUCUUUCUACCUGGCACACCCAGUCAAAACAUUUGUUAUUAAAGAAGUGUAAUUUGCUCACUGUGACGCACAUGCUAAAAUGCCAGUAAGAUCUACUUAAAAAUACAUUUGUAUUUGAAGCUUGAAUCUCCAGGGAGAACAAUGAAGAAGAACAAAGCUUAGUGAAAUAUGAGGUUCAGGUAUCUUUUGGAACUCUGUGAUCAUUUAGAAAAAAGCCCUUCACUUAAGGAUGGCAAAGUCAACAUCUGAGAUGAAAAUCUUUCACUGAAUACUAUUUUUGUAUUUUUUGUAUACCAAAAGCAUGCAACAACAGCAGUCACCAUGUACUAACUUUUAAAAAAGCUUUCUUAAAGGACAGAUUGUCAAAGUCAGGUAUGAAAAUAUUAGGCACUAAAAGGUUUUUGAGCAGUCCUAAAUAUCACCUUCUGUUUGUUCAGUAAUCCAACAAAAGCGUGAUUCAUCUCAAGGCUAAUAGUUGAGCUGAACUGAAACUUGUAACAAAAAUAAAUCCCUACCUUUGGAAUAUCUUUAUCUGUUUUUUAAAUAUUUUAAUUGGUAGGGAUUUGUGAAGGACAUUAAAGCUUUUCCUGUUCCAGCUACAAAAUCUACAAUAUCAAGUUCCACAAUCCAACAGUAAAAAUAAGACCAAAUAUUUAAUGAUACGCACAAAAUCUUUCAGUAUUUUGUCAGGCAGUGUAACAAAAUGAGUAAUUUCUUACUGUGAAAUACCUGAAACCAAUCAUUUUGCAAACCAGCUCCUUUCACUCAGUGAUUGUAACACACGUACCUUUGCAAAGCACACUCCAGUAGAACUCUCAGACCUUCACAAGCCUUCAGAGUUCUCAAAAAGCACGAAGGUAAAGAUGACAGUCACUAGUUCUUUGUAUCUCAGAAAAUGCUAAGUGGUAUAUCACCUAUCUUAGAAAAAAAGAGGUGAUAUACCACUUAGAGCCCACAUACCCAUUGCCACUUAUACCCACAUAUGUGGAGUUUUUCCAUGUAUCACCUUUUCCUUCAUCAAAAUUCCCAAACUUUUAAUAAAAUGUGGCGAUGCAAAAGCUUUUCAAAAAAGCCACAAGAAUAUAUUACAAAGGUAACCUGUAAGGUAACACAAGUGUCAGGGUUGCUGAUCAGUACUUUACAAAGGAAAAAAAGUGUUCUAGAAAGUUUGGGAUUUGUUUUGGUUCUGGACAUGCACACAACACACAGAAGCAUCAAAGACAUCACAGAAUAUCAUCAGCUGUCAAUCUGAGGAGACCAAGAUUUAGCAAACUGUUUUUUAUGUACACCUCCUCAGUUUUUCACAUAAUGUUGGGUUGAUGAAUGCAAUACAAAUCAUGAUUAAUAAAAACUAAAUGGAUAUAACAGAUUCUUUCAUAAGAUUAUGUAUUGUACUUUGUCAUAUGUGCUGUGUCACCUUUUAGCAGUAACAGUGUGUCCGUAUUAAAUUGUAGAUAUUACCAAAAAAAAAUGUAAAAUUAAAGUGUACGUUCUUCUUAGCAACUGAAUCCUACCAAGAUAUAAUUAUGUUAAGUAGCCUAGUGACUAAACAAAAUGCUGUCUAACAUUUGUUCUGGGUAAACAUAUUUGUUCUGUUUCUGAAAAAGAACCAGAUUCACCUCUGUUCCAAAACAAUUUACAUGAAUUACAACAAUAAAUGAGUUGGCUUUAAAAAGUG
Molecule: long non-coding RNA, 2147 nt
Organism: Anas platyrhynchos (mallard)
Lineage: Eukaryota; Metazoa; Chordata; Aves; Anseriformes; Anatidae
Source: RefSeq, a predicted model, not a curated record